RNAcentral lists this ribosomal RNA (659 nucleotides) under Leiobunum vittatum. RNAcentral describes it as "16S ribosomal RNA". It matches the Rfam family "Bacterial large subunit ribosomal RNA", at positions 1702 to 2744 of the family's 2925-position model. Lineage: Eukaryota; Metazoa; Arthropoda; Arachnida; Opiliones; Sclerosomatidae. The record is from RNAcentral.
UUGGUAAGGAACUCGGCAAAAAUUUCUCUUAACUGUUUAUCAAAAACAUUUCYUUAAGGAAGGAUUUAAAGUAUGUUCUGCCCCCUGAUUAACCUAUUAAAGGGCCGCAGUAGCCUGACUGUGCUAAGGUAGCAUAAUCAUUAGGUUCUUAAUUGGGAUCUGGAAUGAAUGAAUGAAUAAGGGGGAGCUGUCUAUCAAUAGAGGUUGAAAUUAAAUUUUUAGUAAGAAUGCUAGAAUCUUUCAGUGGGACGAUAAGACCCUAUAAAGCUUUACUAAYCUUUAGUAAAAAUUUUUACUACUUUUAUGAAGGGUUUAGUUUUACUGGGGCGGUAGCUAAUUAACUUAGUUAAUUUUCYUUKUUUGRGGAUCCAYCWUUGGUGAAGUAAGAUURAGUUACUUUAGGGAUAACAGCAUAAUAUACUUAUGGAGUUCUAAUCGAAGAGUAUGAUUGUGACCUCGAUGUUGAAUUAACCUAAUUGUAAGGUGAAGAAGCUUUACGAGUUAGUCUGUUCGACUAUUGAAGGGUUACGUGAUUUGAGUUCAAACCGGUUUAAGCCAGGUUGGUUUCUAUCUACUGAGUUUAAAAAGUCUUUUAGUACGAAAGGACCAGAGACUUUAGAGUUUCUAUUUAAGUAUAUAUUUAACUAAUUUUAGGUAUU